Molecule: ribosomal RNA, 254 nt
Filed under: uncultured bacterium
Lineage: Bacteria
Description: partial 16S ribosomal RNA
Rfam family: Bacterial small subunit ribosomal RNA
Source: RNAcentral
UACGUAGGGUGCAAGCGUUGUCCGGAAUCAUUGGGCGUAAAGCGCGUGGUAGGCGGUUCAGUAAGUCCGCUCUGAAAGCCCAGGGCUCAACCCUGGGAGGCGGGUGGAUACUACUGAACUAGAGUACGGAAGAGGAGAUUGGAAUUCCUGGUGUAGCGGUGAAAUGCGCAGAUAUCAGGAGGAACACCAACAGCGAAGGCAGAUCUCUGGGACGUAACUGACGCUGAGACGCGAAAGCGUGGGGAGCAAACAGG